RNAcentral lists this ribosomal RNA (497 nucleotides) under uncultured bacterium. RNAcentral describes it as "partial 16S ribosomal RNA". It matches the Rfam family "Bacterial small subunit ribosomal RNA", at positions 28 to 507 of the family's 1533-position model. The record is from RNAcentral.
GAUGAACGCUGGCGGCGUGCCUAAUACAUGCAAGUCGAGCGAACAGAUGAGGAGCUUGCUCCUCUGACGUUAGCGGCGGACGGGUGAGUAACACGUGGAUAACCUACCUAUAAGACUGGGAUAACUUCGGGAAACCGGAGCUAAUACCGGAUAAUAUAUUGAACCGCAUGGUUCAAUAGUGAAAGACGGUUUUGCUGUCACUUAUAGAUGGAUCCGCGCCGCAUUAGCUAGUUGGUAAGGUAACGGCUUACCAAGGCAACGAUGCGUAGCCGACCUGAGAGGGUGGUCGGCCACACUGGAAGUGGGACGCGGUCCAGACUCCUACGGGAGGCAGCAGUAGGGAAUCUUCCGCAAUGGGCGAAAGCCUGACGGAGCAACGCCGCGUGAGUGAUGAAGGUCUUCGGAUCGUAAAACUCUGUUAUUAGGGAAGAACAAAUGUGUAAGUAACUAUGCACGUCUUGACGGUACCUAAUCAGAAAGCCACGGCUAACUACGUG